CUGGACAGAAGGUGAAGCUGGGUUAUGCUGCAGGCAGCAAAGCCUCAGUCGGUUAGGUAGGAGCUCCAGGGUGAGGGUUCAGCAGAGCUGACCUGUGGCUGGACAUUCAUGCCAACCCCUUCUCACUGAGUGAAGUGGCCUGCUCCAGGAAAGGUAUGACCUGGGUCCUGGUGGCUCUCUGCAACUGAGGUGUACCCUCAGUACACCUCAGGGUCAAUAGCGGAGGCUCUCCACUGACCACAUUCCCCACAACCAGGCAGCAAAUCCUUCUUGAAGGAUUUGGGUAGUUCUCUGCUACACCGAUCUCUUUGCUACAAGUUUGUUUAGGAGUUUUCACUAAUAUGUUAUGGCCAGAAAUUAGAUUAGGCACAAGGAUUGAAAAAAAAAAAGAUAUGAGAUUUUUAGAAUCAAAGUGAAUUCAUUAGUUCACAUCCUGGACCUUUCAUUUAUCUGGUUUUCAUCAGAUUAAUUAAUGUUUCUGUGCUUGGGAUUUUUUAUUUUAAAAAAUUGGGGAUAAUUACUGCUGAUUACAAGCUGCACUGCCUUUUUUAAGUUACUGUAAUUAUUAACUUCUGGGAACUCCUUUCUUUUAUAAAAGCACAGAGGUAUAACAAUAGUAGUAUCUAAUAUCACAGGAUUGUUUUAAAGAUUAAAUGAGCUGCUCCAUUUAAAGUAUGUCUUCUGGAAAAAAAAGGUGAGUUCUCCAUAAAUAUUAGUAAUGAUUAUUAUUUUUAUUAUACACACAUAAUAUGAUUAUGUAGUCUAUAUAACAGAACUUCCAAAGACUAUUAGAAACUAUUAUUAAGGUUGCUGAAUGGAAAAAUCAACAUGUAAAAAUCAAUAUACAUCACCAAUAAACAUUUAAAGCAUGUAUCUUUCUAAAUUUCUCAUUAACAAUUGCAACAAAAAACAAUAAUAAUCCUGGGAAUAAAUCUCAAAACAGCUAAACAAGAUCUUUAUAGAAAAAAAUUCAUAGCAUCAUUGAAGCACAUAAAAGAAGAACUAGAUAAAUGGAGUAUAUGGAUAGAAAGGUUCUAUCAUAAAAAUGACAGUUCUCUCAGAUUAAGCUGUAAAAUCAGUUUAUUUCCCAUUCCCAGAGAAUGUAUGUCAAAAGCCUUGGAGGAAAGAGACAUCAUAUCCAAAGGGACUAAGUAAAGAGAUAUACCAGGGUUAAAAAAGGAAUCCAGCACCUCCAUCACCUCUGCCACAUCAAAUACAGAAAAGGGAGGGAAUGCAGUUACAGAAAUCCAGGUAGAAUGGAAUUAGAAAUAGAGGAACUGUGGUAUUGAACAUAUGCAUCCACCACAACUGCUAAGGGCAGCAAGGGAGAGAGAGAAGAAUGAAUCCCCUUACCAUUCUGUCUCCUCUCUACCACAGUCUUCCACUGGCUGAAUCCAGCUAGAAGUCAGAAGCUAAAGAAGUGCAGGGAUGCAGCUCCAUGGAAAACAGGUCUAAAGUAUGAUAUGUCAUGAGCUUUGUAAUGUUUUGAACAACCAAUAAAAAAAAGAAAAAAAAACCUUUAAAAGAGAAGGCUGUAUACAUGAAAAUAUUUUCAAUGCAUGUAAGUGACAAAGAAUACUCAGAAAAUGCAAAAACAUUCUUAAUCCAUUUUAAAAAUCCAAACUAAGAGGAAAAAAGAACACGUCCUUAAAGACAAUUUGCAAAAGAGGAGACUUCAAUGAAAAGACAAAUCCUUAUAUACGUGAAAAGAUGCUCAUAGAACCACUGAGAGAAAUGAGACUAAAUAUCAAUAAUGUAUUCAAACCCACAUGUGCAAAGAAGUUUGAUGAUGCUUCAUACAUGGCUGAGGAUCAUGUAAACUGGUGCAACCAUUAACAGAAUAAUACCAAGGUAUCUCUUAAAUAUCUGCUGAAGAUAGAAAUUGUUCUCUGAACACCACUACCACAUUUCACAGUUUUACUAAAUACUGAAGUAUCUAAAACCAAAUAUUGUUGGUAAAAGUGAUAUAUCUUUUACACAUUCAAAUUUCCUUUGCAACUUUUUUCACUCAAAUUAUGCUUCAUAGAUUGACCUCUGUUGACACAUGUUAGUUUUGAGUUAUUUAUUUAAACUUUUAUAUAGCAUCCAAAAAAAAAACCCAUAAUGAAUGAUUAUUUGAACUUUUCAAAUUAACACAAAUGACAUUGUCAUAAACACAUGACUCCUGGUACCCACAUAUGAACAGUUUUUCUAGAAGUAAAAUUGCUGAAUACCUCAAGAAAUAUAACAUAUACUUCGUAGACUAUAUAGAUAUGAAAAAGAUAUCUGAGAAAAUUUAUAGUAUCUUACAAACAUAAAACCAUACUUGGUCAUUUAAAGCUAUAAUUUGACUUUAAUGAUUCUAAAUUAAAUUGAAUUAAAAACUUACUAUUUUUUAGGGAAUCUCUUUACUACCUUUCAUCUACCUAACCACCAUACUACUAGGAAAUUAUAUAUCUACACUUUGCACAUUAAAAACCAACAUUCAAACACAUCAGGCAAUCUACUAGUAGGGAUUUCAACACAGGUCAAUAUGGCUCAGAGUCUGAGCAUUUUCUGGCUACCACUUGUCUCCCAUUCUUCUAAGAGCAAAGCUGAAUCUUCUUGUUUAAAACUAAUUUUGACACAACCAGAAGAAUGAGAAGUUAUACUCCAUUUAUGUAUGAUGUGCCAAAAUGCAUUCUACUGCCAUGUAUAACUAAUUAGAACAAAUAAAUAAAUAAAAUUAAUAUUGAAGUUUUUUAUAUAACAAAAAUGUUAAUAAAGUAUUAUAGUUUACUCUUAUAAAGUAUAAAAUAUAUAGAUAUUUAAGUAAAAUUUAACAUUCCAGGUAUCAAGAAAGAACCAAAGAACAUUAUAGAUCCAAAGACUCUGUCCUUCCCAGCACCCACAUGGUGAAGUACACCCACAUGGUCAAAGUCACACACAGCCAUUAAGUAAAUAACCAAGACUUUGCAAUGGACUGAGUUCAUAGUCCAUCAUCAACAAGAUAGUGAUUGCCAUGAAAAAAUAAGAGGGAAGAGAGGGAGGUUACUGUUUCUUCUUCAUGAAAACACACAUGAAUAAAACUUAGCAAUAUGAAAUGUUUUCUGUUAUUUAUUCAUGAGUUAGUGAGGUUGAUAAAUAAUUUCUUUAAAACAAUUUAUUUGCAUGUAUUCUAUCUCACACCGUUUAAAUACAAAAUUUUCAAAGGAAUUUUCAUAUGAUUACCAUACAGUAUAACUUAGCACAGAGGACUGUUUUCACAUCAUUUUUUCAAUAUUUAUAAUUUUUAUUGAAGACAUAAGUAAAAGAAAAAGCAUCUGCGAACUCUUAUUGGACCUGGAAGACCUGGAUUGUGAGACAGAAGUCACAACUUCAUAGAUGCCAGAGUUUCAUAGUCUGAUGAAUACAGCUCUUGACUGCCUCAAGUUAAUUCUUUGUAGACACACUGAUGCCAUUAAAGUAAUGAAUAAUUUGGAGAAUGCCUUGCUUCUACUUAUUGCAGAUCUUACCUGGAAUGUAUAACCUAUGUAACCCAUGACCAAUCAACAACCUGCACUACUCACCAAUGCCAUGGUAACAAUGGGUUUGCUGUCAAUUACUUCUUAUUCUAUAUCUACAAAACCAGACCCCUCUAAAGACAUUUCAGAGAAUAUGUUCCACAAAACUGGAAUUCAUGAUUCCUGGGUGGCCAUCCUCACUCACUUUCUCUUCAAUAAACUCUUUGUUCUUACUUGCCUUUUAGGUUGCCGUAUCAUAAAUAUAGAAAGAUAUGAAAAUAUAGAGAAAGGUACCAAAAAAGAGCUUCCCACAAUAAAACUAUUCAAAUUUAACAGAAAUUAACAUUCAAGUUUUGCUUAUUUUUUAAUUCAAGAAACAUUUAUAUUUAUGAUGAAAAUAAUUCAUACUCAUAAAAGAGUAUUUGAAAAAAUUAAUAAAAGUAGGAUAAGAAACUAUAGUCUAUGCCAUCUAUUGACAUUUAAAAAUAUUUGCUUUUCUUUGUAAAGAAAUACUUCUUUUUGUUUUUUGAGCUCGUUGAGUCAUGUAUGAAAAAAAAAAAACUAACACCUUUUGCAUAAUUUUUAACAAUUCCUGCAAAUUGACAAAUCUAGUUCAUUCUCACAACAAAACCCAACAUAAUAGCAUCUAUCACUUGUUUUGAAGAUUCAUUUUCUUUAUCACAAAUGUCAUGAAGAUCAAAUCCAUAAAUCUAAGAAUUUUACCUUUCAUACUUGCCAUUCAAUAUCUUAAUACUAGAAUCUGUCAAAAAUUUCCCCCUUCUAAUUCCUCUGACAUUGUUCAUGGUACAAAAUCUCUCUUCCAUGUGGUAGUUACUGAAUGAAUAUUUAUUUAUCCAUUUAUUCAUUAAACAUUUUUUAAAAUAAGACAUACAAGUUUAAGAGAUUUCAUAAAAGAUUAAGUUUAAAAGUAAUCUACAUAUAAGCUACAUUAUUUCAUUAAGAAACGAAGGUAGCUGGCAAGAGCUUCUGUAUACAUUAUGUUAAUUAUUAAAGGAUCAAUCGUUUCACACUGAGUCUGGUUCAUAACUUUCAGCUCUAUUAAAGCAAAAUUGCUAAGAAAUAUCAAAGGAAAUAUAGCUCUAAGUGGAAAAUAAUUUGUCUCUAAUUGAUUAAAAUUUGAAUUUGGGAGAGAUUAACAAAACCAGAAUCCAAACUUGUGCAAGUAUACAGGCAAUUUAACUUUAUUAAAACCUCAAUACAGGAACUGAUUUGGGACUGAAUAAUUAAGAAUAACUAACACCAUGCUUCAGUAGCAUAUAAAUAAACUUUUCUGCAUUACAUGAUUAAAAUCAAUCUCAAGUAAAAUUUUAAUUGAAAUAAUUUUUUUAAAAUUUACCUAUAAUUCUACCACUCUAAAAAUUAAUAUAAUGAUAAAAAUAUAUACAUUUUAUUAUACUCUACCACUACUUAGAUGUGUUGAAUUUAAAAAGCCUCAUACGCAGUUCUGAAGUAUCAUCAUCAUAAGCUAGGAUAAAUAAACUGAGAAAUAAAUGAAUAGUGUCUCUUUGCUUUCAACUGUAUUCUUUAGAAAUUCACUAAUGAAAUUAUCAAUUCCUACAAAUCCCACUUUUUUCAAAUGUUCAUAACUAUUAGUAUUUCUUAGCCUGUGUAUUUUAUACAAAAUUCUCCCCAGAUUUUUCUUCUACUUCUUCUUUUGCUAACAGUCUUACUUAUUGGUUGAGCCCUUCUUUAGAGAUCCCAACCUCCAUACAUGCACACAUUUCAUUCCUUAAUAUACCAAACAUUCUAUACCUGUCCCUUAUGUCUGGCACACCCCCAUAACCCAUAUCAUACUUCCUCCAACUGUGUAUGACUCCUGCAUAAUUUCCAAGCUUCUCUCAACAAUAGGGCCUUCAGAACCUUCCAUGUGUUCUCCUAGUAGAAAAAUUUUACAUUCUCUGAUCACCAAAUCAACUAUUUUUUUUCUUUUAAAUAUAAAUUCAAAUGUCACUUCCUAAAAUAAGAGUUGUCUGAAGCUCUGUGGACAAGUCAAAUUCCCUACAGCAGGCGUCCCCAUCAGUGUGUACUGUCCUUCACCAUACUCACUCUUGCUUCUGUGUAUUAGUUCAUGUGAUUAUUUAAUUAAUUGCACAGAAAUAAAAAGUUCCAAAGUAGCAGAAAUCGGGAUAGAUUUCCUACUCAUCAUUAUGUCACCAAGGCCAAGCUGAUUGCUAGGCACAGAAUGGGCUGCCAAUAAAUAUAUAUUAAAAGAGAGCAAAAAAGAAAGGAAAGAGGGAGGGAAAUUAAUCAUUAGAUCAACAGAUGAUCUUAUUAUUACUAAAAAAAAUUUAUGUGGUCUCAUUUGUGACCUGAAAGAUAAUCAAUUUGUAAAUUAAAUACCCUUAAUAAAUAAAUAAAUAGAUAAAUAAAUAAAAGUCAUUUUAGCUUCUUCCCCAUUAAUUCUCUCACUAUAGGUAGAUACGGCUUAUAGUUGUAAUCCUGAUUCUUUUCUUUUUUUCAUCUUCUUCCAGAGGAAGAAAAGCCAAUUUAUAUAUCUUGCUUCCUUCGAAUCAGAGGUUGAACUAAGAAACCAUGGGAAAACAGUAAAGGAUGACCUCAAGAAAUAAGUUGAGGUACUGAGUGAAGUGAAAUCCAGAAAGAACAUAAACCAGUACAAGCUUAUGGAAUGUCAUUGACCAUCAGUAGCAGUGGAGGCACCGUCCCGCCUGGACUUCUCAGGAGCUACAGAAUGCCUCCCAGAACUGUCCACCCAUUCCCACUGGCUGAGGCGCUUCUUGAGUAGGGUUAACUCCUCCCCAUUUACAGACUGCAUGGACCUUUACUAGUAACCACAUGUUAGCAAAAUCGCAGAGUGGAAAGUGGAAGAUACUCCACACAAGUCUGAGCUGUGAAAAAGCCCCCCACAACUGAGACAGAGCCUGUCUGCAAUGUCAGCCAGAAUCAGAAGUGAGGCAGAGGAUGUGAGGGAGUGCCCGGGAAGCCUGUGGCAUACCCUGUGGGAAUAGAAGCAUUACUCACCGCACACAGGGCCAGUCUCAGACAAUGAACUAGCAGUGCUGAAAGAAAUAGUUGACCACUUUCCCUCAGGUUCAACGAAUCUUCUAGAAUACUUUGGGACACUGAAUCAGGAAGGAAAAGAGUCCAUUCCGGGCAUUUUCCAACUGCUGAUUGUAUCUCCAGAAGCCAGUGGUUUCUAAUAAUGCUGUCUGGAACAGGUAAUCACUUAACAAAAGCAUUAUAUAUAUUAGUUCACCUUGAGGAUCAUCUAUCACUAGGCAGAAUAUCAAAAAUUCCAAUCCAAUCUACAGAAAUAUAGUUAAUUUAUACCUUAUGUACCUAACAGUAUUCCUCAGGUAGGAUCUGGAUUAAUUAUGAUUCUGUGAGUUGGUCUAAGAAUAUAUUCUGAGUUUUAUCCAUAUACCAAUAAGUAAAGAGAUCAGUAAGCUACUAGCUUGUCUUUUGUUGACAAAGAAUUCAAAUUUACUCGUUGUUUGAAUCAUUAACCUUCACUGUCCUUAAGAUCUACCUCAAAAAACAAAACAGAACAACAACAACAAAAGUGUUUAAAUACCAAAUGGCACAUAAUAUAAUGCUUAGUAGAAUCUGGCCUCUUUUUGUAACAAUGUUUUUCAAAAAUCAAAUGGGCUUGGAGUUAGCUGUAUUGCCUAGAAACUAUAGGUUGAGGCUACUAACUCUACUUUUAUUAGAGUGAGCCUGCAUCCUUGUACAUCUACAUUUAUAAUCAGUUAUAAAUAGUGACCCAUUUCAAUUGACAGUUUUGGUAAAGUAAGCCACAGUAGACCAAUACCACUACCAAGAACAACUAUAAGAGAUGGGUCUGAGGGGGAAAUUCUAAUAAGAACAAACAGAGUAUAUGAGUCAGCUUUCCAUUACUGUAACAAAUGCCUGAGAUACUCACCAUGUGAAUAGCACAGGUUUAUUUCGGCUCACAGUUUUGGAGUUUUAGUGCAUGAUCAGUUGGUCAGUGGCAGCACAGCACUCAUGGUGGGGAACAUGUUGGCAGAGCAAAACCACUCAUCUUAUGACCAGGAAACAGAGACGAAGAGGAAGAGGUGGGGAUCUCACUCUCCCCUUCAAGGACAAGCCCCUAGAACCUGAAGACCUCCCUCUUGGCCCUAACUCUGAAGUUCCCACCACUUCCCAGUAGCACCAACAGGGUACCAAGCCUUUAAAACAUAGGCCUACCCAAGAACCAAAUCAUAACAGAGAGCUUCUGAACACAUCCCGACCAGAAGCGUCACAAUUUCAGAUAGAUUAAGUAUCAGAGAGGUAAGCUGACUUUUAAGGGUGUUUUCCUUCCCCUAGGGGUAAAGAGUAAAGGUAAUUGCCAAUCUGGAAACACAGCAAGAUCUUCAGAAUAUGGGCUUUGCUUUAGCAGAGGACUACUGCUAUGAAAUAAAG
RNAcentral lists this long non-coding RNA (7865 nucleotides) under Marmota monax (woodchuck). Lineage: Eukaryota; Metazoa; Chordata; Mammalia; Rodentia; Sciuridae. The record is from RNAcentral.